RNAcentral lists this long non-coding RNA (1019 nucleotides) under Homo sapiens (human). RNAcentral's name for it is "novel transcript". Lineage: Eukaryota; Metazoa; Chordata; Mammalia; Primates; Hominidae. The record is from RNAcentral.
GCCCGUGCCUCUUCCUCCACACUUUCCCGCAAGCUGAGGGAGCCGGCUCCCGCCUUGGCCAGCCCGGAAAGGGGCUCCCACGGUGCAGCGGUGGGCUGAAGGGCUCCUCAAGCACGGCCAGAGUGGGCGCCAAGGCCGAGGAGGCCCCGAGAGCGAGCGAGGGCUGCCAGUAUGCUGUCACCUCUCAUUAUUAUUUGCCGAUGGGAGUGGAGAAGGAGACUUGGUGAUAACAGGACUGAAAACCUUGUGUAGGUAUUUGGAUGCCAUUUGCAUUACUGCUUCAGAGGACCAGUUGGAUGUGCCUUUUUCCAUUUUUUUGGUUGAGUUUCCCAUUCUUGGAGUAAUUUUUAAGAAAGAAAAAAGCAGCCCCAGCAGCUUUCCCCUGGGAGCUGGCCUGGGUAGCUGGGCUGUGUUGUUUCUCUGCUGAAACAUCUACAAUUUCACAGAAUGCUAAGAUUAGACAAGCGCAUUCCAUGCCCAGGAUGGAGCAUGUAAGAACAAGAAUGCUCCAUAAUCACAGCUCUACACAGAUGAAAACAAAAACACCAUGAGCACCACAAAGAAGACCAACCACUCCUCUGGCCAGCAUCUGCCAGUAAAUGUGACUGCUGCUGCUGCUUUAACCUGUUAGGGUGUAGCACACUCCAUUUCUCUUGCCCCAUAAAUUAAAAAAAAUUAAAGUAUCUAAUUACUGAAGUCCCCACUUCCCUUUCUGAGACCACUCAAACAAAAGCUAAUUCCUACUUCUUUGAAUUCUCCCCCAGAUUAGCUAACAUGAGCCCAAAUCCAAUUCCGUAUCUCUUUUUAACACACUCUCACUCUGUGGGUUUUUCAUUUCUUGUUGUCUCCCUUACUUCAACAGGUACACAUGCCAAAUUUGCAUGACUAUAUAUAUACAUAUACAUAAUCUGUUCCUGAAAUUUUCAGUAGUGCCAUCUAUAAAAAAUGAUUUAUUUUAAUUGCAAAAAUAUAUUAGAAUUCACAUUUUUAAAUGAAUAAAUCAUAUGUAAUUAACAUUC